GCCACACCGUACUCGCCACCCCUACCGGAGAAGCAACCUUCUGAAAAUUAGGGACUGAAACAAGACGGUAGAACUGAAAUAUCUUUUAACACUUUUAAAGUUGAUCAAAACAAACUUCCAAUGCAGAUAAGAACUCUACUAGAAUAACAGUAACAGGUAAUACUAACUAAUGACGAUUCUCUUCCAUAAGACAUUCGCUAAGGGAAAACAAAACUGAAUUGCCCCAAAGUCAGACAAAAUCAACAGUAAGUUAUGGCUCACACAAUGCCAAAAGAAAAAUACGAAGGUCACCCAAAGAAUCCCAAAAUGAGAUUUUUGUCUGCACAAGACUCAUUUCUUCUUAGCAUCACCAGCCUUGGUCUUCUUUACACCGCGAACCUUCUUGGCUCUGUUCUUUCUUUCCUUCAUUUGUUUCCUAGACUUCUCAACCUUAGUGUCAAGCCCAUUCCUGAUGAGCCUAUACUUUGGCUCAUACUUCUUGGCAUUCUCAACGGAAUCAUAAAUCAAACCAAAUCCUGUUGAUUUCCCACCUCCAAAAUGUGUUCGGAACUUGAAAACAAAAAUAGCAUUGGCGUCCUUCACCUCAUACAUCCUAGCCAACUUCUCCUUCAGCUCAGCCUUUGAGACAUUGGCUCUUCCAGGAUGAAGUACAUCAAUAAUGAAUUGCUUCCUGGCGAGAAGCCUGUUGGUCAUGAACUUGCGGGUACGAAUAGUGACUGCCUUGUCCGCCAUGGCUAGCUGUCUCUUGGAGCAAAUAGUGAGGCAGGAAAAAGGCACUCACAGAGGCAGUAGCGAAA
Molecule: unclassified non-coding RNA, 797 nt
Filed under: Hevea brasiliensis (rubber tree)
Lineage: Eukaryota; Viridiplantae; Streptophyta; Magnoliopsida; Malpighiales; Euphorbiaceae
Source: RNAcentral